GGAGGCAUAGUUCAGUAGUUAGAACACUCCCCUGAUAAGGGAGAGGUCGGUGGUGCGAUCCCACCUGUCUCCACCA
RNAcentral lists this transfer RNA (76 nucleotides) under Mycoplasma wenyonii str. Massachusetts. RNAcentral describes it as "tRNA-Ile (GAT) (tRNA-Ile-GAT-1-1)". It matches the Rfam family "tRNA". Rfam says of the family: Transfer RNA (tRNA) molecules are approximately 80 nucleotides in length. Their secondary structure includes four short double-helical elements and three loops (D, anti-codon, and T loops). Lineage: Bacteria; Bacillati; Mycoplasmatota; Mollicutes; Mycoplasmatales; Mycoplasmataceae. The record is from RNAcentral.